GAUCAUGGCUCAAGAACGAACGCUGGCGGCAGGCCUAACACAUGCAAGUCGAGCGCCCCGCAAGGGGAGCGGCGGACGGGUGAGUAACGCGUGGGAACGUACCCUUUGCUACGGAAUAGCCUCGGGAAACUGGGAGUAAUACCGUAUGUGCCCUUCGGGGGAAAGAUUUAUCGGCAAAGGAUCGGCCCGCGUUGGAUUAGGUAGUUGGUGGGGUAAUGGCCUACCAAGCCGACGAUCCAUAGCUGGUUUGAGAGGAUGAUCAGCCACACUGGGACUGAGACACGGCCCAGACUCCUACGGGAGGCAGCAGUGGGGAAUCUUAGACAAUGGGCGCAAGCCUGAUCUAGCCAUGCCGCGUGAGCGAUGAAGGCCUUAGGGUUGUAAAGCUCUUUCAGUGGGGAAGAUAAUGACUGUACCCACAGAAGAAGCCCCGGCUAACUCCGUG
Molecule: ribosomal RNA, 445 nt
Filed under: uncultured bacterium
Lineage: Bacteria
Description: bacterial SSU rRNA
Rfam family: Bacterial small subunit ribosomal RNA
Source: RNAcentral